This 274-nucleotide ribosomal RNA is filed under the name uncultured bacterium. Its description in RNAcentral is "partial 16S ribosomal RNA". It matches the Rfam family "Bacterial small subunit ribosomal RNA", at positions 523 to 796 of the family's 1533-position model. The record is from RNAcentral.
AUACGGAGGGGGCUAGCGUUGUUCGGAAUUACUGGGCGUAAAGCGUCCGCAGGCGGAUAAUUAAGUUAGAGGUGAAAUCCCAGGGCUCAACCCUGGAACUGCCUUUAAAACUGGUUAUCUAGAGUUAUGGAGAGGUAAGUGGAAUUCCUAGUGUAGAGGUGAAAUGCGUAGAUAUCAGGAGGAACACCAGUGGCGAAAGCGGCUCACUGGACCAUUGCUGACGCUGAGGUGCGAAAGCUAGGGUAGCGAACGGGAUUAGAUACCCCAGUAGUCC